GACGAACGCUGGCGGCGUGCUUAACACAUGCGAGUCGAACGAUGACGACCGAGCUUGCUCGGUCUGAUUAGUGGCGAACGGGUGAGUAACACGUGAGCAACCUGCCCUUCACUCUGGGAUAACCUCGGGAAAUCGGGGCUAAUACCGGAUAUGAGCUCCUGUCGCAUGGCGGGUGUUGGAAAGUUUUUCGGUGAAGGAUGGGCUCGCGGCCUAUCAGUUUGUUGGUGAGGUAGUGGCUCACCAAGGCGAUGACGGGUAGCCGGCCUGAGAGGGCGACCGGCCACACUGGGACUGAGGCACGGCCCAGACUCCUACGGGAGGCAGCAGUGGGGAAUAUUGCACAAUGGGCGAAAGCCUGAUGCAGCGACGCCGCGUGAGGGAUGACGGCCUUCGGGUUGUAAACCUCUUUCAGCAGGGAAGAAGCGAAAGUGACGGUACCUGCAGAAGAAGCGCCGGCUAACUACGUG
RNAcentral lists this ribosomal RNA (467 nucleotides) under uncultured bacterium. RNAcentral's name for it is "partial 16S ribosomal RNA". It matches the Rfam family "Bacterial small subunit ribosomal RNA", at positions 28 to 507 of the family's 1533-position model. The record is from RNAcentral.